GCCGGCUCGGCAAGUCUCCCGUUAAAUCCAGCGACCUAAUCGUUGGGCUGCGGGAGAUACUGUUGGGCUAGGGGGCGGGAGAGGCCGACGGUAUUCCCGGGGUAGGGGUGAAAUCCUAUAAUCCCGGGAGGACCACCAGUGGCGAAGGCUGUCGGCUAGAACGCGCUCGACGGUGAGGGACGAAAGCUGGGGGAGCGAACUGGAUUAGAUACCCGGGUAGUCUCAGCUGUAAACGAUGCGGGCUAGGUGUUGGGGUGGCUACGAGCCACUUCAGUGCCGCAGGGAAGCCAUUAAGCCCGCCGCCUGGGGAGUACGGUCGCAAGGCUGAAACUUAAAGGAAUUGGCGGGGGAGCACCACAAGGCGUGAAGCUUGCGGUUCAAUUGGAGUCAACGCCGGGAACCUUACCGGGAGCGACAGCAGAAUGAAAGCCAGAUUGAAGGUCUUGCUAGACGAGCUGAGAGGAGGUGCAUGGCCGUCGCCAGUUCGUGCCGUGAGGUGUCCUGUCAAGUCAGGCAACGAUCGAGACCCACGCCCCCUGUUGCCACCGAGGAAUUUUUCUGAGGGGCACUCUGGGGGGACUGCCGCCGAUAAGGUGGAGGAAGGAGUGGGCCACGGCAGGUCAGUAUGCCCCGAAUCUCCCGGGCCACACGCGUGCUGCAAUGGCUGGUACAGUGGGUUCCGACUUCGAGAGGAGGAGGUAAUCCCGAAAGCCGGCCUCAGUUGGGAUCGAGGGCUGUAACCCGCCCUCGUGAA
This 754-nucleotide ribosomal RNA is filed under the name uncultured crenarchaeote. RNAcentral describes it as "bacterial SSU rRNA". It matches the Rfam family "Archaeal small subunit ribosomal RNA", at positions 524 to 1280 of the family's 1478-position model. The record is from RNAcentral. Lineage: Archaea; Thermoproteati; Thermoproteota.